Molecule: non-coding RNA, 2138 nt
Organism: Oryctolagus cuniculus (rabbit)
Lineage: Eukaryota; Metazoa; Chordata; Mammalia; Lagomorpha; Leporidae
Source: RefSeq, a predicted model, not a curated record
CUUGGGAAAAGGGCUGGGCUGUUACCACUGGGCAGUGGCCCUGGCCUGGGAUCAGGGGUCAGGAGUCCAGGGCUCCAGUCAGGGCCCAGAUUGACAUCUGGGAGUCUCCUUUUCUUUCAGAGCUGCAGUGACCCCAUAAAGGAGAGAGGACCACACCCUGAAGGCACAUGGCAGUGAGGGAGAAAGAGAGAUCUCCCAUCUGUUGGUUCAACUCUCCAAACAGCUGCAACAGCCAGGGCUGGGCCAGGCCAACAUCAGGAGCCUGGAAUUCUAUCUAGGCUGUCCAUGUGGUGUGGCAGGGCCCCAAGCACUUGGGCCAUUAACUGCUGCCUUCCCAGGUGCAUUCGCAGGAAGCCGGAUCAGAAGUGGAACAGUCAGGCCUUGAACCAGUGCUCAGAUACGAGGCGCCAAGUUCUUUCCUGGAGUCUCAGUCUCGUGAGGCCAGGGAGGCCAUGUGGCACCGAGCUGGCUCAUGAAACACAGGUGAACAUUUGCUAAGAGGCUCCUGGGCAAGUUCCUGCCUUCCUGACGACGGCGGCAAGCAGGCCUACUGGGUGUGCGCUGGAGCAGCGACAGCCUCCCUGCAACCACAGGAGCAAGGCCACGAGAAGCGGCCAGCCCUGCGCCGGCAGCAGUGGGCCCCGGGAGCCCCGGGAGGGCUGCGACUGUGCUGACGGGGGCGGGCCCGCUCACCUGGGCGUGCUUGAAGACGUGCAUGAUGCAGAUGGUGAGGCCCAGGCCGAAGAUGUAGGCCGCAAAGCUGGUGUAGAAGUAGGUGUGCGUGUUCUUCUUCAGGCUGCGGGGAAAGCGCAGGGGUCAGCCGAGGGCACUGCUGCAGCAACAAACCUUCAGAGGACGGAGCCGGGGGGGCCGGGGGAGCCGGGAGCCCCGGGCUGGACGCGCAUCUGUCACUGCCCUCAGCUACGUCUCCUGAUGAGUCACCUUCCUUUUCUCAGCCUCAGUUUACUCAUCUGCAAAACGGGAAAACCACAAGCCCAUCUCCCUGGGGGUUUGUGAACAUGGAUGCUGUAUCUAGAACCUAGAACACUGGCGCUAAGACGCCAGCCAGCAUAACAAUCUGGAAAGCUUAGAAAAAAACAAAAAAUACAGGUUCUAGGUCCGGGUCCAGACCCGAUCUAGCAGGUCUGGGGUGAGGCCCAGGAAAUCACUAUCUGAAAAACGGAGGGAAUCUGAUACGGGGUCGCGCUUUGAGAAACCACAGGCAGUCAUCACCCACAAGUGCAGCGGGUGCAGCUUGGUGGCACUGUGUCGACUGCGCGGGUCCAACAUGGGCGGCGCCGUGACCGCCGUGUGCCCCCAGUGAUGCCACACAAGCUGGCCCUGGCUGCUUCGGGGGCUCCAGCUGCAAGCGCCCUGGGAGCUGCUGCACUCCCCCUGGGAAGGCUGCAGGUUCUGCCAUCAGCCUGGAAGGCCUGUGAGCCUAUGCUAGGAACGAGAUUUGGCCUCCGCAGGUGCCGGCAGUGGCACCUCCAGCCAAGGGCCAGGGGAAUCCUGUGCGUCCCUUCUGUGUUAGCUCUGCUUAGCCAGAGCACACAUGGCUGGCCCUGAUGUGCCUCUCCUUACAGGCUGGCCAGCUCCCCCUCCUCCCAAGGCCCGUUGUCUGUUAGCCCUGUGUCCCUGCGUUCCAAAUGGGCAGUAUACAAACAACCCAGAUGUCUGCGAGUCAGAGUCGGAGAGGUUGUCUGGGUGGAAGCUCAGCGACCUAGCACUGAGUCUCACCCCCGCCCCCACUUCUGCAGCUUUAGCAAUGAUCAGCCAAGCCCUGGCUGGCGCCACCUGCUGGUGGCAGGGCCAGUCGUUCAGGCGCUAACUCAGAUAGGACCUGGAGUGUUGGGCAAGGGUGGCCUCCCCUCCCUCACGCCCUUUCCUCUAACAGGCAGCCCAGGAGUCUAAGCAAGGAGCCAGAGGGAACAGCUGCGCUGUGUUGACCGAGCCCAGGAUGCUACCAGCGAAGCCAUCGGCUGCGGCUGGAUCCCCCCGGGCGCCCCCAGCCUCUCCUGAUGACCCUGCGGCAGGAAUCGUCUCCUGUGGACCUAAGGAUGAGGGGCUGGGGCUUGGAAAGGCUGGGCAGGCAGCAUCACGAGACCUUCUGUGCUGAAGUCUCCUGGCCUGGGGUU